Talpa occidentalis (Iberian mole) is the source of this 698-nucleotide long non-coding RNA. RefSeq lists it as uncharacterized. Lineage: Eukaryota; Metazoa; Chordata; Mammalia; Eulipotyphla; Talpidae. The record is from RefSeq and is a predicted model, not a curated record. The transcript has 5 exons.
UUCCUGCAUUCUCGCGUUCUCAGCUCCUGGAACUGAGCUAAACAAAUACCUCCAACACCCUCCCACCCUCUCCCGAUACACACACACACACACACACACACAGAGCACAGUAUAGACAGGAAUUACAGGAAAGAAGUUCUCGGUUCCCUUCUCUACAUACUGGAGUACUCGCAGUGGCUGACCCCAAGGUUUCUGCAUGUUUGAAAGAAUGACAAGAGGAUGGCAGCCCUGCACAAGUUUUGAAGCAGUGUAUCAGGAAGAAGGCAUCACUGGUGCAGAGACUCACAGGCAGAGGGUCUCAUCAGGUUGAAAAUAAAUCUACCCUUAAAGAUUAAUAAAAUCCAAGGGCAACAAUAAAGUAUGGUAACAUGGAAGGAACAAGACCUGCCUCAGUGUUUAAGGAAAAGACCAUAUCACCAGAACCCACUGGUUCCUUGCUGUGAUUCAACUCAGUAGCCAUGUCAGCAGCGAGCUGCCAUGCACAGGGCCACAGAUUGGGUGGCAUAAACAACACCUUCCUUACCACUCUGGAGGUCAGAAGUUUGAGUUGAAGGUGUCAGCCAGGGUGCCAGUCAUAUUGGAUCGGGACACACUCCAGUGAACCUACUAAAUCAUAAUUACUUCAAGACCGUAACUCCAUAGUCACUUUUUAAAGUUCUAAUUGGUUACAAUGUCAACAUUUGAAUUGGGGGGACACA